Chroicocephalus ridibundus (black-headed gull) is the source of this 6286-nucleotide RNA transcript. It is a transcript of the gene named methyltransferase 4, N6-adenosine, with no coding region annotated. The record is from RefSeq and is a predicted model, not a curated record. Lineage: Eukaryota; Metazoa; Chordata; Aves; Charadriiformes; Laridae. The transcript is spliced from 9 exons.
CGUAACGUCUGUCAGAAGAUAGGUGCUACUUUGUUGAACAAUGAGAAUUCUGAAAAGUGUACUCUUAAAAAAAAAAAUUCCCCCAGGAGGCGUUUGCUCCAAGAAGUGCGUAUGAUUACCAGCUGUGGUUUCAGGGAGUUGAUUUUUCUUCCUGAAAAGGGGAGCUGCGAUGUCCGUGGUACAUCGGCUGACAGCGGGGUGGCUCGUGGAUCAUCUCUCUUUCAUCAACCAGUGUGGCUAUGAGGUCUGUGACUCCUGUGCGUACCCUGGUGGUGUCACUCUCAAUACUUCUGUCGCGUGUGUUGGAGGCUGUUGUGCUACUUCUACCUUUGCAGCCACCUCCCCAUCAAGAGAUGGUCCUAUUCCCGGUCCUGCAAAUUUGAUAGAAACAGAAGGUGAAACAUCAAAAAAGAGAUACGUGUUUCGGAAGGAGUUCUUUGAUGUUUCUAAGCCCCAUAUAGCUGCAGCUCCUGAGGAGCAGCUAUGGCAGGGAUGCCCUGAGGUGGGUCUCACAAAAGUAAAGGCCAACAGCAACACAGAGGAACACCCUGAAGGAACCAAGAGUCAUGUCGGAGAAUCUGUUGCCAGUGCUAGGAAGAAACGUAAAAGGAAAUGUGUAUUCAACCAAGGUGAACUGGAUGCUUUAGAAUACCAUUCAAAGGUCAGGAAGCUCAUUUGGGAAGGCACUUUGCAUUUAGUCCAAGAAGGACUCAAAAGUGGUUUUCUUCACUGCACUGCUGCAGAACUCAGUUGCAGGAAGAAUGUUGUUCCCGGACACAUUGGCUGUGACUUGGCUGAAUUAUGUGAAAUGGCGAAGCAGCUUCCAGCUGUGAAUGAAAGCGACCAUCAAGCUGUACAUCUGCUAGAUGAUGAAACCUCUAUGUCAGAGCAGGACCUGCUCUCGUGUGUUACAGAAAACAGCUCAAACAGUGCAAAGAUAGUUGUGUUAAUGGGGCAGAAGUACUUGGUGCCACCAAAAAGCAGUUUCCUUUUAUCUGAUAUUUCAUGUUUACAGCCCCUGCUGAACUACAAGAAAAAAUAUGAUGUAAUUGUGAUUGAUCCACCAUGGGAGAACAAGUCUGUUAAAAGAAGUAACAGAUACAGCUACUUGUCUUCAUGGCAAAUCAAGCAGAUUCCUGUACCGGCACUAGCUGCUCCAGAUUGUCUUGUAGUCAUCUGGGUGACUAAUAGACAGAAACACUUACGUUUUGUUAAGGAUGAACUUUAUCCUCAUUGGUCUGUGAAGACACUUGCUGAGUGGCACUGGGUAAAAAUUACUAGAGCUGGAGAAUUUGUAUUGCCUUUGGAUUCUUUACACAAAAAGCCCUAUGAAGUUCUUGUAUUGGGGAGAGUACAAGGAGAAGUAAAGGAAGCCUUAAGGAAACCUGAAGAUGUACUUCCAAUUCCAGAACAUAAGUUAAUUGUCAGCAUACCCUGCAGUCUGCAUUCGCAUAAACCCCCUCUUACUGCGGUUCUGGCAGAGUUUAUCAAGCCAGAUGUGGAAUGCUUGGAGUUGUUUGCUCGCAACCUGCAGCCUGGCUGGACCAGCUGGGGAAACGAGGUUUUGAAGUUUCAGCACAUUGAUUACUUCACUCUUCUGCAGAAUGAAAACUGAGUUGGGUCUUGUAGCUUAAUUCUGAAAUGCCGCGCCUUCCCAGCAGGCUCUCGAACUUGCCUUUAUUACUGAUGGGACACUCAGAAGAUAACAGAAACAAACCCAAUUUGGUUGAAGUGGCAGGACAUCCGUUUAAUGGUAUCUCCAUUUGUACAAGCUCGUCCUUUGUUUUGAUGAUCUUGAGAUACGUUAGAGUAUGCCCUCUCUUGUGUCAAGCCCUGUAUAAAGAAGGAACCGUGCUCUGAAGAGUUUACAAACUUGGUGAGAAAUGACAGAACAAGGGAGAAGAUAAGGAUGGAGGAAUACAGGAUAGUAAUGAGAUGUUGAGGUGAAUGUGGUAAGUAGCAGCCUAGGUAUUAUGGCACAUCUUCAGUGUUUCUAAGAAACAAUAGUUUUUUUCCUCCAAUUUUAGAAGAGAUUUUCUGCUUUUCUAUUUUGGUAUGUUAAAAUUCACACAUUCCAAGGACAAAUAGGUGAAGUGUGUAUUUUACUCACAACGUUGACAAAAGAGAAGUUUUUUUCAGUUCUAAAUUCUUUUUCUGGCAGUUCGGUGAAGUGAGAACUGUGCUCAGGAAUUUUCAGAAGGUACUUUAUUUGGUACACCUGCUGUUGUUUUAGCAGGACAAUGAUAAAAAAGUGCUUUGGCUAGGUGUUCUGCACUACUUAAGGCCCCUUAAAAGUAUGUCUUGUUGCAAAAAAGAAACACUCGGUUCAUAAAGCAAUAAGAAGUAAUUUUAAGCUAUUCCUAUAUGUAGAGUACAUCAAGUGUCAUAAUCAAACUUAGUUUUAUGAAGCUUCAGGUUUGACUAUGAUUUUGAAAUGUCAAAUUAGCAUAUGACCUUUACUUGUAUUUUUAAACUUUUAUAAAGUAAAAAGAAUUACACCAGUAAGAUAUGUUUUUGGAAUAGCGAUUGCUAGGCGUGAACUCCUGUGGAGACAGGAAAGUUUCUUUUGCAAGAUUAAGCGUUAUUUAGAAAGUGAAGUGAGCAGCUCUUACCUCUUCAUAGGAUUCAGCUCAGGUAGGUAUCAGCAGCAGUGGAGUUGCCUUUGAAAAUCGAUUCCUAAACUAUAUAGACAGCAAUAAAAUAACAGGAGCAGAAUGCUACUAUGCCCUGAGAAUUGUGUUCAUUAACCUCAGUGUACCAUUUAAGACUUACCUGCUGCUUAUUUUGGGUUGAACACAACAGUAAGGGAAUGGAAGAUGGCUAGAGAAUAGCCAAGGGAUGAGGUUUGUUCAAGUUGCUGAAAGAAGUCUCGUGGUGUCCCAGCUGGCAGGGAUUUUCCCAAUGGGCUGACAGUCUAGUGGAGCUUGCCUGACUUAAUGACUUUUGCCACAGAAACACGUUUUUGUUGUCAUGGCUAGUAGGGUCCUUGUGCAGCAGCACAUCCUGUGCCCUUCCGUCCUCACCUGGGUGGGGAUUGCUUUUUGUGGAGAACACGGCCACGGAAAGGAGCUGCUGUUUCACAGAGCCAAUGUCUAAACUGCAAGACCUAAAAAAUGCUUCUCUGGCCUAGCUCUGUGCCCUGGAUACAACCUGAUUCCAUAAGAAGCAUUCCCAGGAUCAGGAGGAGCCCCACUGUACUUUGGUCCGGGCUGGUAUUGGUAGAAGAGGUACGUGCUGUUGCUGUGACCUAGCAUGACUCAAGGGCUCUGCUGUUACAGGAAACAAGAUCAGAUAAACUCUUCCUUGAAAUGACUAGGUAUUUUUCACUAGUGGUGGUAAUUGAAUGCUGAUGUUAUUUCAGGAGUAGUGGGAAGUUAGAAAAAAAACAACCAGGAAGAGAAAGUAGUAGGAGUAGAUAAGCUGCCACCCAUGCAAAAAAGGCAUGGCCUUCGUCUUGUUAGUAACAUGUCUUGCUUAGGGACACGUCUUGCCUAGGGACAACAUCUGCUUUGUUGUAUUGACAAAGCUUGAGCCUGCAGUUGCUAAACAAUUAAAAACCACCAUGUUGGGAGGCAUGAGUGGAGAUUUUCAUUGUCAGAAGCAACUUGCAUGGACCAGCCUAACUAGACACCUUUGGGAGAGGACGCUCCUGCAAGACAGCCUUCCUAAACUGGGUCUUCCAAGUUGUUCCCAAGGACAGAAGGGAGCUUCAUGCACAACGGUAUAAUGGAAAUCUCACCCAGAAAGCUGUUUCUAUGGCUCAACCACAAGUGCUCUUUGCUGCUGGAGAAGGCAUCUUGGGUACUCCAAACUAAAUGGUGAUAGCCUGAGAAGAGUGGCCUGGUGGUCAGAUGUGAGAGGGCAUGGCAGCAGAGGCAUCUGAAGUGCCACGUUGCCACACUCUUGGAGCUGAGGAUUUGAAAUUGUGGCAAGAGCGGAACUGCCUGCUGUCACAAGGACUUAAAAUGUGCAAGCCAUGUGAGAGAAAGCUGUGAUUUCUCCAUUAAUCCUUGUGUUUCCUAAUAUGUAGGAACAAGGACGGAAAAGAAUCAGCAGUAAAUAAGAUAAACACAACAAAGGUACCAUAGCAGGAUUGUUCUCUAUGACUGCAAUUUUAUUUAUCGGUUUUCUGGUGCUACCUGUUUGAUAGCAAAAGAACAAAAUGAGGCCUCAUUUGAUGACUGUAAUGGAAAUGAUAGCCCUGCCUCUGAAUAUAGGUGACUUUUUUCAGAUCACCUAGGGAGAUAGUAUUCAAUGUGAAUGCACUACUAAUAAAAUGCUAUGAAGGCAAAUAUUUGAGUGAGAUAUUUUCCUCCUGACAUUCAAUAUGCAUUGGCAUGUCUUCUUUUUUCCACUGUCAGUAGGUAAAUUGACUUAAAAUAAAAUAGCCAUGCUUAUUGCUACUUGGAAUAUUGGGCACCCUCAUUCAUUUUUCCUUUUAUUUUGUAAAAACCAAACAGUAUUUUCUGCUGAGGGGGAAGGGAGAGGGAGGUCAGACGUUCUCGUUUUGUCUGUGACAUUACCUCUAUUUGCCCCAAAUUAAACCUUGUGGAGCUGACAGUCCCAUAAGCACUCGGAACCAGUGGGAUAUUCCUCACCCUGACCUGUCUUAGACCUCCUCUUUUUCCCGUUCACUUUUCUUCCUUAAACAGCGUUUCUUUCACAGUUAAUGUGUAAGAAAAUGAGGGACCAUAAAGAGGACGUGACAGACAACGUGGUAAGCAAUGCCCAAAAUGCAGUGGAAUAAUGAGAAUUGUACGCUUUCAUAGUCUAGUCCACAGCUAGUCCCACAGCACUGCUCAUGGCUUUCUAAGCCACUGUUGUGGACUAGCUUAUACAGACUUUUGAGAAUUUAUAAUCUGUAAAGAUCCAUCUCAGCCUUUUUGGAAAUGGUAGCAUGUUUCAACAUGGAAGACACCGUUAGCACAGUGGACAUUGCACACUGCUGGUUACAGGUCAAUUGCAGAAAGUACAAAAAUCUGAAUUUGAUUUCUGACCUUUUUUUCCUUAUCAUAUUUUCUGUUUUAAAAAAAAUAUUUUGCUCAAAGAAAGAUCCAGGUAAGAAAUUGCGUUAUCCAUGCAAAUUGCAAGAUGAAGGUCAAAAAGAGAAAAAUGUCAUAGUUUUCUCCUCCGCCUAAAGGAGGCAGAAAUUAGAUAGAAAUUGAAAGAAUUGCUAAUAAUGUAAUAGGCUAAAAAUACCAUCAAUGCGGUCAUGAUUUUACAGGAUCAUUAACUGAAGUUUGUAGCUAAAUUUUACCAUUUUAUUUAAUAGUAUUGUCUCGUAACAGUUAUACGCUAUUAGUUCAGGAGACAGCUUAUUGAAAAUAUUUUUAUGACACUGUUACUGCCCUCAAACUGUUCAAUGUGUGGUUUUAACUAUGUGACCUUUGUAUCUUCCAUUACUCUGUGCACUCCGAAAGUUAGGCUGAGUUCAGAGAGGAAGUAUGUGUCCUUUUCUGAGGUUCAUGGUUCAUCUAUUGCUUCAUAUAACUUCAAAGAGACAGUUCUGACAUAAAAAUUACGUUUUCCCACAUCAAAGUGACCCAGUCAAAACUUCCAUCUAAAAUUUUAUCAGGCCUAGAGCCUAACUCAUUAAAAAAAACCAAGAGGGUUUAGAUUACAAAGAGCUAUUUCUGACCAACUAACGGGCAGGCAAAGUUACAAGGAUUUCAAAAUUUCUAACAAGGUCAAGGAAGCGCAGAACAUAACAGGAAUCUAAACAUUUUUACAAUUUUCUCUGCAUGAUGCAACUUACAUAUAUAUAUUAUUAUUUUGGUCCUGUGAUCUUCAAGGUUAAUUGUGAUAACCCUCAAAGUAAAAAAUGCCACAGGAAUCAACAAUGUUAAUGUUCCUCCUAACAUUAUAGGAGGAAACUUUCUGGUUUUAUAGCGCUGAAAAGCCUCAUUUACAGAGACUGGGAACUGUCUUACACAACAAUUUCAUUUUGUUGAUAUAAUCAUGGCUUUGUAUAACCAUUUACAUAAUGACAUUAUAGGUCUGUAAGAGAAACAGGAUUAUAUUAUUCCAUAACUAAGUUACUGAGGUUUUGGUAUUAUACUGAGACUCUGCUUUUACAUAUGAUUUUCAUGAGAAUGCUAUUAAAAGGAAAUGACUUGCCCAUUAUCACACUGCUCUUUUUGAGGUCUUAAGUAGACCUCCAAAGCCUAGGCGUUUUGCUGUCUGCUGGUGGUAGUUGGCAAUUUCACUCCAAAUCACUAUGGGGAACAAACUUCAUUUAAAAGGCGUAGCUUGUCGAUUCUUGUCCCCUGCAUACACGUAUAAGAAG